UUUAUGCGGAAAAAAAGAAACUUAUAUAAAUAUGGAAGAUGGGAUUGCUUCAACGAUAUCGUCUUCUCUCUAUUUCUUAAGCUCUAAUUUUCUGUGACUAUCGAGUCUAAUGGCAGGUUUGGACUUUGUUAGCGAUUUGAAGCCGUUCAAGUCGAUGUGGAAAAUUCGUGUUAAGGUGAUUCGUCUUUGGAAGCAGUAUACUUGUGCUCUGGGAGAAACAAUGGAAAUGGUGUUAGCUGAUUCAAAAGUAAGCACGCUGUUGACAACAUAUAUAUUUGAUCAUUUUGAAACUCUUCUUAUGUUGCUAAUUUAUCUUGCAGGGCGAUAUGAUCCAUGCUACUGUGAAGAAAGAAUUGGUCAGCCAGUUCGUGACCUUAAUCAGUCAAGGUGAAUCGAAGUUGAUGGUGAAUUUCAUCGUCACAAUGGCUGCUGGAUCUUAUCGCCCCACAAAGCACCCUUACCGAAUUGUGUUCCUCCCGACGACUCGACUAAGAAUGUGUGAUGCUUUGCCUUCAAACUUGACUGGUUUAGACCCGGUCAAGUUUGAGUCUAUUAAGGAUGGUAGUCAGAACACGGACUGCUUGGUUGGUGAGUCUUACAUCAUUCAUUACGUUUGUAUUUGCUAGAUGACGUUUUGGUUUAAACUUUGAUUUUGUGUUUUUCCCUUAUUGCAGAUGUUAUCGGACAUAUUGUUGAGGUUUCCCAUGUGGAAGUUAUUUCUGUGAAUGGAAAAGAUACCCAGAAGCUGUCACUGGAAUUAAGGAACCAAGAGUAAGACAUUUUAAUUUGUCCAUUGUUUUGUUGUCUUUUGCGUGAAAAGGGUUCAAUUUAUUCUCAAAUUUUUGUUGUCUAGGACGUUGAGGAAUUUUGGGUAUUAGCUUAAAGAUCUGUUUUAAUAUUUUUGCAGUGAUGAUCGUCUGCCGAUGGUGCUAUGGGGUAAAUUUGCAACAGAUGUCAAUGAUGCUAUCCAGCUAAGAGGUGAACAUAAGAUCAUCGUAGUGUUGCGUUUCGGCAAAAUAAAAGUCUGGAAAGGUAAAUCAAAACCUUUGUACAAUAUCAUAUUUUAUUUAUAUCAUCUCUUCAUUAUUAAGUCAAGUAACUAUAAUUAUUGGUGACUUUGGUUUCAUUCUUUAGAUGAACGUUCCAUCUCGAAUGCAUACAAUGUUUCCGAUGUUGCUUUGAAUCCUAAUUUGGAGGAGGUUCAACCGUUUAUUGAAUUGUAAGUAUAAAUUUGCAAAUCAAGGAUUCCCAUCAUGUUCGUCUUAAAUCGAAAAUCAUAGAGUUUGUACUAUCAAUAUGGAAAAAGGAGUGAAAUGUUUAUAUAAUGAUGUAGGUUACCUAAGGAUGAUAUGGCCUUGGCCAUUGUUGACCCUAAGCCUCUUGCAUUAACUAAUGGUGUUUCUGACAAGGAUGAUUUCUUUAUCCAUACCCCACGGAAAAGCAUUGCUGAUGUGAAGGCUUCAAGACAGGUAUGCAUUUUUUAGAUAUUGGAUAUCUUUACACUUUAGAAAACCACAGUUUAUGAAAUCAUAUCGUUUAUGUAUCAGGUGGAGAAGUGCGUUGUUAUGUGCACUAUUGUCGGGAUUGAUUCAGACAUGGGGUGGUUCUAUCUGAGCUGCAAGGUGUGUUCAAAAAAAGUGCUCACAGUGCCAAGCGAGUCUGAGGAUGAUGGACUCGAUGUGUUCAAGCACAAUUACUUUUGUGUGAAAUGCAAUCAGCACGACCCCCGACUUAUUCCUAGGUUACUAAUAUGAAAUUUUGAAUAUUAUACUUGAUUUAUUUAUUAGAAUUACUUUAGUUUUAAGUAAGUUAAACUUUUAUGUCCCAGGUAUAAGUUGCAUGUGGUUGUACUCGAUCAUACAAGCGACACUAAGUUCCUACUGUUUGAUAACCUAGCACAGAAGCUCUUACAUCAGCCUUGCAUUGAGCUUACUGGACCCAUAACCGAUGAGGUUAUUAUAUAAUCUCUUAAAACAGUUAUAGUAAAACCUAGAUUUUUCUUAUAAGUAUAUGAAUUGUCUUUUCUUUUUCGGUGUAGGAGGUUCAAGAACCGUAUCUUUUGCCGGCUGCUAUCAACAAUUUGGUUGGUAAAACCUUUCUCUUCAAGAUACAGAUCGAGCGGGAAAACUAUCUGUACAAGCAUGAAACCUACAAGGUGUUGAAGAUUAUCACUAACACUGAUAUGAUUUCUCAGUUUGACCUGACUCAAUCCCCAACGGGAAGUGAAACUUUCAAAGCUAUUGAUAACAGUAUUGUUUCUGAUGCACCAGAGGGUUCGAUGAUGUUGCGUGGCUGUUCAUCUCAGCAGUCUGACUCAACGAGUCUAACUCCAGCUAAAAGAAUUGGGGCACCGGUUAUCAAUCUGGAUGAAACAUUUGACCAGACUUCUGUUACGCGCACUAAUUGUCCAGUGAAGAUCAAGAAGGAGAAGAAAGAUAAAAGUGGCUAAAGCGGUUUAUUUGAAUUUUAAGAGAGUAGAGGUUUUGUUUUCUUCAAGAACUUGCAUGUUUUUCAGAUUUUUUUUGGGUUUUCUGUUUUGUGCGUAAUUUGUUGCAUUUUUAGUAAUUGGGAUUUUUUUCCCAGAUUGCGUGUUGUCUACCUUUAUUUAAUAUAUGUACCCUCUACUCUCAUUUUAAUUAUGUUUCAACCUCUUUUUAUGUUUUUCUACAUAUGCAACUAAUAUUCCUUCCGUGAGUAGUUUGAUUUUGAUCAAACUUAAAGUUUCAAAUAACACAGCAUAAACUCGGUUGCUUUAAGAGUUGAGAAAAUGUGGUUCUUUUUGUUACCUUGCAAACCUGGAUCCGUGUAAAUUUUUUAUAUAUUUUGUCAAUUGUCUAGAUUCUCCUACUUUAUUACUAACAUAGUUUCUAAUACAAAUCAAUGAUGGUGAAUUCAUGCUAAGGGUAUUUUUUAAAAAUUUAGUAGAUUGUUCAACCUACUAGGAUAUUAUACCCUUAUUUGUAACUGUGAAUUUAAAGUUAUAAACUGUAAAUAAAAUUUGAGAUAAAUGUUCUGUGUCUUACCUUUUCGCGAGAUAUGAACAAUGAGUUAUCUGUUCUCCCAUAUAAUCAUUUGGAACGUUCCAUGGACUUUAUAGUCUUCCUGACAUUUUUAAUAUCAAGCACAUGAUUAAGUUUUAUUUAUUACAAUUGUGUACGAUUUUUUUGCAAUACAGUUAUAAUAUUUGGUGAAAAUUCAUUAUGUUAAAAUCAUAUUACCUUUGAGUUCAUUUAAAUAGCAAGGGAUUAAUGUCAUCUGGAAGGAACAAUGAAUUAUGUUAAAGUCAUAUUACCUUAUCAGCUAUAUUAAACUCAUAAGUUAGAGAACUGCGGAUAAUUUAGAAAAAUUAGUCUUACACUCAAAGACAUUUAAUGUGUCCAUCAGAGUGAAAUAAGGAUUCAAAGCAAUCAAAUAUUCUAUGUGAUUUUAUUCCCAAAUCUGUACUAGAGUGCGCAUAAUUAGUAAAUAAACUGAACGUAAUAAAGGAGCCUAUCGAAAUUGAUGAACAAAACUAAAUAUGUGGAAGAAGUCCAUAGAACUGUAAUGCAGCAUUUCACCUAAGAACAUUUGAGAUGAAUAAGAACAGUCGACCCCCGAGAAAAAGAGAACACAGUACAGAUGAACAUCAAGUAUCAAAAAAGCAGAGACAAGGUUCUCUAUCUUACUUUUAAUACAAACUAAUCUGUUAUUAUGGUUAAAAUCCUAUUUACAUGUCUAACUUAUUUUGAUCAACAUUCAUCUUCUUAAACGGUAUGGAAGAGAGCAAGAUGAAUGUAAACACAGUGAUUCCGGUCUGUAAUACUCAGGGUGCUAUUUUAGCUGACAUUACAAAUGUCGUGGCUAACGACGCCAAAAACGCCAGAACUGAAAGGAGAUUACGAUUGCAACAAAAGCGUAAAUUUCCAUUUACAGAUGACACUCCUACUGUUAAUCCCAUGGUGGGGCAAUCAGAUUCAACCGUUCAAGUUUUAGUCAAACCAAUAGGUAUAGAUCCGAAACGUAU
Brassica napus (rape) is the source of this 4003-nucleotide long non-coding RNA. RefSeq lists it as uncharacterized. The record is from RefSeq and is a predicted model, not a curated record. The transcript has 3 exons. NCBI's taxonomy places the organism in Eukaryota, Viridiplantae, Streptophyta, Magnoliopsida, Brassicales, Brassicaceae.